Sinocyclocheilus grahami is the source of this 1186-nucleotide long non-coding RNA. RefSeq lists it as uncharacterized. The transcript has 3 exons. Lineage: Eukaryota; Metazoa; Chordata; Actinopteri; Cypriniformes; Cyprinidae. The record is from RefSeq and is a predicted model, not a curated record.
AAGUGGCGGGAGCGCUGGAUGGUGUGGCCUCACUUCCAUCUGCAGAUGGGAGCACUCUCACCACCUAAGAAAAUAAAACCAACCCUGGACAGAGGAAAGAUGCCAGCCUUGCGGAACCCAGCCUUGAUGUUUUGGGCUAUGACAGCUGUGGGGUAGACGUGUUUGAGGAGAGCUGAAAACUGCUUCUUCGCCACAACAAUGUCCCCUCGCACCAGACCCAUCCUGAAAGCCAUGGUGGAGAAAGCAGUCUUCAGUGGGUUGAAGACCGCAAUAUCCAGGGGCUGAAGUAUGUGUGUGGUGUGGGCAGGAGUAUCUGAUAAAAUGACGGAGCCAUUUCCGGAAGAGCUCGGAGUCCAUGUAACCCUUCUCCUGGAUGCCAUAGAGGGUGUUGGGGGGGCCCAUCCAGCCUAUAGGCAUUACUUGGGAGGCAGCUGGGGUAAAUGAUGAAGGGUAGAAUGCUGUCCCCAGCUGCAUUCACACAGCAGUGGACCGUGAUGUGCUCCCUGGUCAUCUGCUGCUGCUGAUAGACCUGUUUCCUCCCAGUCUGGCACAGGACCUUCUCCCUGGACCGAGGCUUGUCUCCAAAGCAGGUCUCAUCGCAGUUAAAGAUGGGAUGUGGCUUGUUCUCCAGCUUGUGCUUCAAAUAAAGGGCCUCGUACAAUUUGAAGAAUGCUUUAAUGGCCUCCGGUAUAGCACCAUGGACUCUGGCUCUGUCCAGAGAAUCUGCCGUCCGAGUGGCCAAUUCUGGAUGCCGGGCCUUGAACCUGGACCACCACAGAUCACUUGGUCCCUUCUCCAGAUUUACAGUGGUGGUCUCGGUUCUGCCACUCUCCUUAAUGAUCCCAACAGCCAGUACUUUCACUAGGGGUCUUGUCACUGGGAAGCCAUGGUCUGCCAUCCAGAAUAUAAAGGAAAGGAGAGCCUCUUCCUCUCCAGGUGUCAGGGCCGAAUUAGGAUGAAGUUGGUUGUGGACAUAUUUAUUUUUUUAUAGUCCUGUAGAGUGGUGUGGGGAAUGCCAAUUUUUUUUGCUGUUGCCCUUAAACUUGUUCCUGCCUUUACUUCCUCAACUGCCUCCUUUAACUUCUCCUUUGAGUACUGUUUUUUCUUUAUUUUGCUUUACUGACUUUCCUUUGAACUAUGAUUAUAUGUUAAUCAUGUAACCUUAACUUCAAACGAUUGUUUAUAA